Molecule: ribosomal RNA, 406 nt
Filed under: uncultured bacterium
Lineage: Bacteria
Description: partial 16S ribosomal RNA
Rfam family: Bacterial small subunit ribosomal RNA
Source: RNAcentral
AUUGAACGCUGGCGGCAAGCCUAACACAUGCAAGUCGAACGAUUGGCGGACGGGUGAGUAAUGUCUGGGACACUGCCUGAUGGAGGGGGAUAACUACUGGAAACGGUAGCUAAAACCGACUACCAUCGGAUGGACCCAGAUGGGAUUGGCGAGUGGGGGGGGUAAAGGCUCACCUCUGCGACGAUCCCUAGCUGGUCUGAGAGGAUGACCAGCCAAACUGGAACUGUGAAACGGUCCAGAAUCCGACGGGAGGCAGCAGUGGGGAAUAUUGCACAAUGGGCGCAAGCCUGAUGCAGCAAUGCCGCGUGUAUGAAGAAGGCUUUCGGGUUGUAAAGUACUUUCAGCGGGGAGGCGUUACCCGCAGAAGAAGCAACGGCUAACUCCGUGCCAGCAGCCGCGGUAAUAC